This 427-nucleotide long non-coding RNA is filed under the name Homo sapiens (human). RNAcentral describes it as "HSALNT0028968". The record is from RNAcentral. Lineage: Eukaryota; Metazoa; Chordata; Mammalia; Primates; Hominidae.
UAUUCAUCUGCAAAUGUUUUUGUCUUUGCCUUUCUUGACAGGUAUUUUCUCACUGGGUAUACAAUUUUAGGAUUAUUAUUUUCCUCUCAGUUCUUGGAAGAUCGUAUUCCACUCUCCUUUGGUUUCUAAUGUUGCUCUUCAGAAGUCAGCUCUCUGUGAAAUUGUCAAUUCUUUGUAAAUAAUCUUCUAUUUGUUUUUAGUAUCUUUUCUUUGUCUCUGGGGUCCUCUAGCUUUACUAUGAUGUGUGUAGGUAUGAAUUUUCUUUUAGAUUCUUUUUUUUUUUUUUUUUUUUUGAGACAGAGUGUUGCUCUGUCGCCUAGGCUGGAGUGCAGUGGUGCGAUCUCAGCUCAAUUGCAACCUCCAUCUCUUGGGUUCAAGUGAUUCUUGUGCUUCAGUCUCCCAAGUAGCUGGGACUACAGGCACGCAU